RNAcentral lists this transfer RNA (72 nucleotides) under Planctomycetota bacterium. RNAcentral's name for it is "tRNA-Gln". It matches the Rfam family "tRNA". Rfam says of the family: Transfer RNA (tRNA) molecules are approximately 80 nucleotides in length. Lineage: Bacteria; Pseudomonadati; Planctomycetota. The record is from RNAcentral.
GCCCCGUAGCUCAAUUGGUGGAGCGUCUGACUCUGGAUCAGAAGGUUGUGUGUUCGAGUCACACCGGGGCUG